UGCGAACUCCUACGGGAGGCAGCAGUGGGGAAUAUUGCACAAUGGGCGCAAGCCUGAUGCAGCCAUGCCGCGUGUAUGAAGAAGGCCUUCGGGUUGUAAAGUACUUUCAGCGGGGAGGAAGGGAUGAGGUUUAAUACGCCUCGUCAUUGACGUUACCCGCAGAAGAAGCACCGGCUAACUCCGUGCCAGCAGCCGCGGUAAUACGGAGGGUGCAAGCGUUAAUCGGAAUUACUGGGCGUAAAGCGCACGCAGGCGGUCUGUUAAGUCAGAUGUGAAAUCCCCGGGCUCAACCCGGGAACUGCAUUUGAAACUGGCAGGCUUGAGUCUCGUAGAGGGGGGUAGAAUUCCAGGUGUAGCGGUGAAAUGCGUAGAGAUCUGGAGGAAUACCGGUGGCGAAGGCGGCCCCCUGGACGAAGACUGACGCUCAGGUGCGAAAGCGUGGGGAGCAAACAGGAUUAGAAACCCUGGUAGUCCAGAUG
RNAcentral lists this ribosomal RNA (479 nucleotides) under uncultured bacterium. RNAcentral describes it as "bacterial SSU rRNA". It matches the Rfam family "Bacterial small subunit ribosomal RNA", at positions 330 to 801 of the family's 1533-position model. The record is from RNAcentral.